UGGUCCUCCCGCAACACUAACUCGUGAACUCGGUCAGGCCUGGAAGGGAGCAGCCGCAGCGGGCGACGUGUGUGCCGGGAUGUGGCUGG
RNAcentral lists this signal recognition particle RNA (89 nucleotides) under Aliivibrio fischeri. Its description in RNAcentral is "Bacterial small signal recognition particle RNA". It matches the Rfam family "Bacterial small signal recognition particle RNA". From Rfam's summary of the family: The signal recognition particle (SRP) is a universally conserved ribonucleoprotein involved in the co-translational targeting of proteins to membranes. Archaeal SRP consists of a 7S RNA and homologues of the eukaryotic SRP19 and SRP54 proteins. In most bacteria, the SRP consists of a 4.5S RNA and the Ffh protein (a homologue of the eukaryotic SRP54 protein). RNAcentral also lists the same sequence under 3 other names. The record is from RNAcentral. Lineage: Bacteria; Pseudomonadati; Pseudomonadota; Gammaproteobacteria; Vibrionales; Vibrionaceae.